GACGAACGCUGGCGGCGUGCCUAAUGCAUGCAAGUCGAGCGGACGGAUGGGAGCUUGCUCCCAGACCGUCAGCGGCGGACGGGUGAGUAACACGUGGGCAACCUGCCUGUAAGACUGGGAUAACUCCGGGAAACCGGGGCUAAUACCGGAUAACUCUUUCCCUCACAUGAGGGAAAGCUGAAAGAUGGCAUCUCGCUAUCACUUACAGAUGGGCCCGCGGCGCAUUAGCUAGUUGGUGAGGUAACGGCUCACCAAGGCGACGAUGCGUAGCCGACCUGAGAGGGUGAUCGGCCACACUGGGACUGAGACACGGCCCAGACUCCUACGGGAGGCAGCAGUAGGGAAUCUUCCGCAAUGGACGAAAGUCUGACGGAGCAACGCCGCGUGAGUGAUGAAGGUUUUCGGAUCGUAAAACUCUGUUGUCAGGGAAGAACAAGUACCGGAGUAACUGCCGGUACCUUGACGGUACCUGACCAGAAAGCCACGGCUAACUACGUG
Molecule: ribosomal RNA, 498 nt
Filed under: uncultured bacterium
Lineage: Bacteria
Description: partial 16S ribosomal RNA
Rfam family: Bacterial small subunit ribosomal RNA
Source: RNAcentral